RNAcentral lists this ribosomal RNA (207 nucleotides) under uncultured bacterium. RNAcentral describes it as "partial 16S ribosomal RNA". It matches the Rfam family "Bacterial small subunit ribosomal RNA", at positions 568 to 774 of the family's 1533-position model. The record is from RNAcentral.
CUCGUAGGCGGUUCGUCGCGUCCGGUGUGAAAGUCCAUCGCUUAACGGUGGAUCCGCGCCGGGUACGGGCGGGCUUGAGUGCGGUAGGGGAGACUGGAAUUCCCGGUGUAACGGUGAAAUGUGUAGAUAUCGGGAAGAACACCAAUGGCGAAGGCAGGUCUCUGGGCCGUUACUGACGCUGAGGAGCGAAAGCGUGGGGAGCGAACA